Lingula anatina is the source of this 705-nucleotide long non-coding RNA. The record is from RefSeq and is a predicted model, not a curated record. NCBI's taxonomy places the organism in Eukaryota, Metazoa, Brachiopoda, Lingulata, Lingulida, Lingulidae.
GCUAUCCAGUCUUGCUACAACGGUGCAGGAGCUAAGGUGUGCGAAGUAGACUUCGAUUGUAGACUGGUUUGAAGCGUUAACUCAUAAUAGACGAUGACAGGAUCUCUUGUCACCAUCCUGGUUGCUGUUUUCGUCAUAGCCACUGUCGUUAAAGAAGCUCAGGCAGCUUGUUGUAGAGCUGACAAAGUCGGAUGGUGUGCAGACUGUACUGAGAACACUCCAUAUUGUGGAUAUGGAAAGUGUAAUAUAUUCGGCUGUGCUUGCGACGGAGGCUGCAGAAAGGACUGCAACCCCUGGUACAGCGAUUGGAAUCAACCACCUUUCAUGAAAGGCUAUUACCGAAAAUGCGAAUGCCUAAACAAGAGAUCUGUGGAAGAUAGGACCGGGGGAGGUAUUGUCGCUAGAGAUACAUACCUUAAUUGAUGCAAACAGAUAUGCUCAAAUUCCAAGGCCUAAUUGAUAAGAGGAAAGAAGCUCUGAUUGGUAUUAAUAUUCAAAUAAAAAAAGCCUCACGUUGUCGAGUAAAUGAAGAUAAUGGUGAUUUGUUGGUGUUUAUGCGAACUUUCCUUUUUCGGUUUUCACAAAUCAUAUCACUUUGCUUUACAGCAUGUGCACAUGUUGCCUAAAUAAAUAUUUAUUUCUAUUUCAAAUCCAAUUCGUGAUUUUGUGAGAUGAUAUUUGCAAUUUUAACUGAAAUACAGAACU